UACGUAGGGUGCAAGCGUUGUCCGGAAUUAUUGGGCGUAAAGAGCUCGUAGGCGGUUUGUUGCGUCGGCUGUGAAAUCCCGAGGCUCAACCUCGGGUCUGCAGUCGAUACGAGCAAACUAGAGUGUUGCAGGGGAGACUGGAAUUCCUGGUGUAGCGGUGAAAUGCGCAGAUAUCAGGAGGAACACCGGUGGCGAAAGCGACUCACUGGCCCGACACUGACACUGAGGUGCGAAAGCUAGGGUAGCAAACGGG
Molecule: ribosomal RNA, 253 nt
Filed under: uncultured bacterium
Lineage: Bacteria
Description: partial 16S ribosomal RNA
Rfam family: Bacterial small subunit ribosomal RNA
Source: RNAcentral